AGAGUUUGAUCCUGGCUCAGGACGAACGCUGGCGGCGUGCCUAAUACAUGCAAGUAGAACGCUGAAGAGAGGAGCUUGCUCUUCUUGGAUGAGUUGCGAACGGGUGAGUAACGCGUAGGUAACCUACCUUGUAGCGGGGGAUAACUAUUGGAAACGAUAGCUAAUACCGCAUAACAAUGGAUGACACAUGUCAUUUAUUUGAAAGGGGCAAUUGCUCCACUACAAGAUGGACCUGCGUUGUAUUAGCUAGUAGGUGAGGUAAUGGCUCACCUAGGCGACGAUACAUAGCCGACCUGAGAGGGUGAUCGGCCACACUGGGACUGAGACACGGCCCAGACUCCUACGGGAGGCAGCAGUAGGGAAUCUUCGGCAAUGGGGGCAACCCUGACCGAGCAACGCCGCGUGAGUGAAGAAGGUUUUCGGAUCGUAAAGCUCUGUUGUAAGUCAAGAACGGGUGUGAGAGUGGAAAGUUCACACUGUGACGGUAGCUUACCAGAAAGGGACGGCUAACUACGUGCCAGCAGCCGCGGUAAUACGUAGGUCCCGAGCGUUGUCCGGAUUUAUUGGGCGUAAAGCGAGCGCAGGCGGUUUGAUAAGUCUGAAGUUAAAGGCUGUGGCUCAACCAUAGUUCGCUUUGGAAACUGUCAAACUUGAGUGCAGAAGGGGAGAGUGGAAUUCCAUGUGUAGCGGUGAAAUGCGUAGAUAUAUGGAGGAACACCGGUGGCGAAAGCGGCUCUCUGGUCUGUAACUGACGCUGAGGCUCGAAAGCGUGGGGAGCGAACAGGAUUAGAUACCCUGGUAGUCCACGCCGUAAACGAUGAGAGCUAGGUGUUGGAUCCUUUCCGGGAUUCAGUGCCGCAGCUAACGCAUUAAGCACUCCGCCUGGGGAGUACGACCGCAAGGUUGAAACUCAAAGGAAUUGACGGGGGCCCGCACAAGCGGUGGAGCAUGUGGUUUAAUUCGAAGCAACGCGAAGAACCUUACCAGGUCUUGACAUCCCGAUGCUAUUUCUAGAGAUAGAAAGUUACUUCGGUACAUCGGUGACAGGUGGUGCAUGGUUGUCGUCAGCUCGUGUCGUGAGAUGUUGGGUUAAGUCCCGCAACGAGCGCAACCCCUAUUGUUAGUUGCCAUCAUUCAGUUGGGCACUCUAGCGAGACUGCCGGUAAUAAACCGGAGGAAGGUGGGGAUGACGUCAAAUCAUCAUGCCCCUUAUGACCUGGGCUACACACGUGCUACAAUGGUUGGUACAACGAGUUGCGAGUCGGUGACGGCGAGCUAAUCUCUUAAAGCCAAUCUCAGUUCGGAUUGUAGGCUGCAACUCGCCUACAUGAAGUCGGAAUCGCUAGUAAUCGCGGAUCAGCACGCCGCGGUGAAUACGUUCCCGGGCCUUGUACACACCGCCCGUCACACCACGAGAGUUUGUAACACCCGAAGUCGGUGAGGUAACCUUUUGGAGCCAGCCGCCUAAGGUGGGACAGAUGAUUGGGGUGAAGUCGUAACAAGGUA
Molecule: ribosomal RNA, 1506 nt
Filed under: metagenome
Description: bacterial SSU rRNA
Rfam family: Bacterial small subunit ribosomal RNA
Source: RNAcentral